Molecule: ribosomal RNA, 467 nt
Filed under: uncultured bacterium
Lineage: Bacteria
Description: partial 16S ribosomal RNA
Rfam family: Bacterial small subunit ribosomal RNA
Source: RNAcentral
GAUGAACGCUGGCGGCGUGCUUAACACAUGCAAGUCGAACGGAAAGGCCCAAGCUUGCUUGGGUACUCGAGUGGCGAACGGGUGAGUAACACGUGGGUGAUCUGCCCUGCACUUCGGGAUAAGCCUGGGAAACUGGGUCUAAUACCGGAUAGGACCACUUCUUGGAUGUUGUGGUGGAAAGUUUUUUCGGUGUGGGAUGAGCUCGCGGCCUAUCAGCUUGUUGGUGGGGUAAUGGCCUACCAAGGCGUCGACGGGUAGCCGGCCUGAGAGGGUGUACGGCCACAUUGGGUCUGAGAUACGGCCCAGACUCCUACGGGAGGCAGCAGUGGGGAAUAUUGCACAAUGGGCGCAAGCCUGAUGCAGCGACGCCGCGUGGGGGAUGACGGCCUUCGGGUUGUAAACUCCUUUCGCUAGGGACGAAGCGUUUUGUGACGGUACCUGGAGAAGAAGCACCGGCUAACUACGUG